GGUUGAUCCUGCCAGUAGUCAUAUGCUUGUCCUAAAGAUUAAGCCAUGCAUGUCCAAGUAUAAACCUUUAUACGGUGAAACUGCGAAUGGCUCAUUAUAUCAGUUAUAAUUUACUUGAUGAAUAUUUAUUACAUGGAUAACCGUGGUAAUUCUAGAGCUAAUACAUGCGUAGGGGGUGGCGUUGGUCACUCUGUAUUUAUUAGAUAAAACCGAGGCAGGGAGAGAUAAAAGGCUCUCUGUAUUUGGCGAGUCAUGAUAACUGGGCGGAUCGUAUGGCCUUGAGCUGACGACG
This 292-nucleotide ribosomal RNA is filed under the name uncultured eukaryote. Its description in RNAcentral is "partial 18S ribosomal RNA". It matches the Rfam family "Eukaryotic small subunit ribosomal RNA", at positions 6 to 292 of the family's 1831-position model. The record is from RNAcentral.